GACGAACGCUGGCGGCGUGCCUAAUACAUGCAAGUCGAACGCAGUGGGGACGGGUGAGUAACACGUGGGUAACCUCCCAUCAGAGGGGAUAACACUUGGAAACAGGUGCUAACACGAUACUUGUGGCUGGACCCGCGGUGCAUUAGCUAGUUGGUGGGGUAACGGCUCACCAAGGCCACGAUGCAUAGCCGACCUUGGAGGGUGAUCGGCCACACUGGGAUUGAGACACGGCCCAGACUCCUACGGGAGGCAGCAGUAGGGAAUCUUCGGCAAUGGACGAAAGUCUGACCGAGCAAUGCCGCGUGAGUGAAGAAGGUUUUCGGAUCGUAAAACUCUGUUGUUAGAGAAGCGUUAUCUAACCAGAAAGCCACGGCUAACUACGUGCCAGCAGCCGCGGUAAUAC
This 403-nucleotide ribosomal RNA is filed under the name uncultured bacterium. RNAcentral describes it as "partial 16S ribosomal RNA". It matches the Rfam family "Bacterial small subunit ribosomal RNA", at positions 28 to 526 of the family's 1533-position model. The record is from RNAcentral.